CUGACUUUAAAAGUUGGAGUUGUCAGUGUGUGAAAUGUCACCCUAAUGAAAGUGACUCUCUUGGAAGUGAUGACAGGAGAUGGUUGGCUGUGUUUGGAUGGAGUGUGUGUGAGGAAGGGGGUGGGGGGUGUGUGUGGGGGUGACUGGGGGCUCUCCUGGGGGCACUGAUGGCAGUGCUGAGCCAGGAGUGCAUCUGAGGCGUGUUGGGCACAUCUGGGGCCCCUCUGCAACACUGCCUGUGAUUAAAGCCCCAAAAAAACCCACCAGGAGAGCCCCAGGCAGCCCAAAUCUCUGCCAGGGUCAGCAGAGACCCUGGGAUCUGAUCUCA
Molecule: non-coding RNA, 328 nt
Organism: Oenanthe melanoleuca
Lineage: Eukaryota; Metazoa; Chordata; Aves; Passeriformes; Muscicapidae
Product: small Cajal body-specific RNA 7
Exons: 1
Source: RefSeq, a predicted model, not a curated record